AUGAGUGGCCAGAAAAGGCAGAGACACCAAAAAAGAGGAGCAGAGGUGCCCAGAACAUGCUGUCCCACAUUGCCAGCCCCAGGCAGGGCCAGCUCACAGUGUGGUGAGCAGAACCAUUCUGAUGCUCCAAGAUCUACGAGGUGGAUGUGGCGGGAGCUCCUGACCCGACUGCUUUGGGAGCUGGCCAGGGUCCUGACUUGCAGCACGUUGGUGACCAGAAGACAACCAAAGGACCUAGAAAGGCACCCGCCCCACCCAAGCCCCAUGGACAGAUGCCCCAGGCUGCACAUUCUGUCAGUGCUGUUCUCCAAGAGUCCCAGACACGUGCUGAAACAUGGAAGGAUAAGAAGCCAGCCCUUGAGAACCACCAGGAGCCGGGAGCGCCUCAGACCCCACAGGCCACCAAGUUCAGCUGUCCCCUUUCCCUUCUGGUGUCGGACACCAGCAGCAGUCCCACCGAGUCCCCCAAGGCGGCUUCCCCGCGCCACCUGAUGACUUCCUGCUGCUGCAGCCACCACCACUGCCCCUGGACGAUCAGGAGCUCCCCACUCCACUAGGUCAUCCCCUCCCCGUGGUAGCCAAGAGGCCUCCUAUGCCCCCCAAGAGGCAGGAAGCAUCCAUGUUCAGAAGCAGCAGAUGAAUAAAAUAAACGAAUAAAAGUUAAAUGUUCUUCCUGAUGAUGGUAUUUCUAGAAAGAUUAUUGGGUCACUCUUUCUUGGGAUCAACACUGUAAUUAAAAAUAGCUUUCACCAUCCCAUGCCUUCCGAAGUCUUAGUGACCUUAGAUAAAUUUUCCAUCUCUACCUCUGCAACCUUCAGGAUUCUCAGAAAAAUCUAGAGAGGAAAACCAGAAAACAUGACAAGCAGAGAUGGUUCCCAUUCUCUGAGAUCCCGUUGCUUGAUUGAUUGGAGUCCUGGACACAGGCUGUUUUGGUGUGGCUUUUUUAAUGCUUGGAUAACAGUAAAAAUUAAGUUAUUUAGUUAGGUUUUGAAUUCUGUGUUAUCACAGUGCUGUAAGUAUCCUGUAAAUAAGAAUGUAGGGGCAGGCAAAGAGAGUCUUAUAUAUGUAUGUUUCCAUCUGGAAUGUUUUCCCUCAGAGAUACAUUUAAUGCCCAAUUUAUCCUUGGCUCUUGGGCCCUAUAUCUCUUCUCUUUCAGAUUGGUUUCUGAUAGG
This 1172-nucleotide long non-coding RNA is filed under the name Callithrix jacchus (white-tufted-ear marmoset). RNAcentral's name for it is "lncRNA (ENSCJAG00000072302.1)". The record is from RNAcentral. Lineage: Eukaryota; Metazoa; Chordata; Mammalia; Primates; Cebidae.